UACGUAGGGGGCUAGCGUUGUCCGGAAUCAUUGGGCGUAAAGCGCGUGUAGGCGGUCCGGUAAGUCCGCUGUGAAAGUCGGGGGCUCAACCCUCGGAUGCCGGUGGAUACUGUCGGGCUUGAGUACGGAAGAGGCGAGUGGAAUUCCUGGUGUAGCGGUGAAAUGCGCAGAUAUCAGGAGGAACACCCGUAGCGAAGGCGGCACUCUGGGCCGGUACUGACGCUGAGGAGCGAAAGCGUGGGGAGCAAACAGG
Molecule: ribosomal RNA, 253 nt
Filed under: uncultured bacterium
Lineage: Bacteria
Description: partial 16S ribosomal RNA
Rfam family: Bacterial small subunit ribosomal RNA
Source: RNAcentral